CUACGGGUCGCUGCAGUGGGGAAUAUUGGACAAUGGGGGAAACCCUGAUCCAGCAAUGCCGCGUGUGUGAAGAAGGCCUGCGGGUUGUAAAGCACUUUCGGUUGGGAGGACUGCUUCUAGCACUAAUAUUGUUGGAAGUUGACGUUACCUUCAGAAGAAGCACCGGCUAACUCCGUGCCAGCAGCCGCGGUAAUACGGAGGGUGCAUGCGUUAAUCGGAAUUACUGGGCGUAAAGCGCGCGUAGGCGGCUAGAUCAGUCGGGUGUGAAAGCCCCGGGCUUAACCUGGGAACUGCAUCCGAUACUGUCUAGCUUGAGUACAGGAGAGGAGAGUGGAAUUCCACAUGUAGCGGUGAAAUGCGUAGAUAUGUGGAGGAACACCAAUGGCGAAGGCAGCUCUCUGGCCUGAUACUGACGCUGAGGUGCGAAAGCGUGGGGAGCAAACGGGAUUAGAUACCCCGGUAGUC
This 465-nucleotide ribosomal RNA is filed under the name uncultured bacterium. Its description in RNAcentral is "partial 16S ribosomal RNA". It matches the Rfam family "Bacterial small subunit ribosomal RNA", at positions 339 to 795 of the family's 1533-position model. The record is from RNAcentral.